GCGGAGGAAAAGAAACCAACAGGGAUUGCCUCAGUAACGGCGAGUGAAGCGGCAACAGCUCAAAUUUGAAAUCUGGCUCCUUCGGGGCCCGAGUUGUAAUUUGCAGAGGAUGCUUCGGGUACGGGUUCCUUCCGAGUUCCCUGGAACGGGACGCCAUAGAGGGUGAGAGCCCCGUCUGGUAGGACACCCAGCCCGUGUGAAGCUCCCUCGACGAGUCGAGUAGUUUGGGAAUGCUGCUCUAACGGGAGGUAUACUCCUUCCAAGGCUAAAUACCGGCUGGAGACCGAUAGCGCACAAGUAGAGUGAUCGAAAGAUGAAAAGCACUUUGAAAAGAGAGUCAAAUAGCACGUGAAAUUGUUGAAAGGGAAGCGCUCGCUACCAGACAUGGGUUCGGCGGUUCAACCGGGGCCACGCCCCGGGGCACUCCGCCGGCCCAGGCCAGCAUCAGCUUUCCGUCGGGGGCAAAGGCGUCGGGAAUGUGGCUCCCCUCCGGGGGAGUGUUAUAGCCCGGCGUGUCAUACCCUUCGGGGGGCUGAGGUACGCGCUUCUGCAAGGGUGCUGGCGUAAUGGUAGCUAGUGACCCGUCUUGAAACACGGACCAAGGAGUCAACCUUAUGUGCGAGUGCCCGGGCGUAAAACCCCAGCGCGGAAUGAAAGUGAACGUAGGUGAGAGCUUCGGCGCAUCACCGACCGAUCCUGAUGUCCUCGGACGGAUUUGAGUGAGAGCAUAUAGGGUUGGACCCGAAAGAAGAUGAACUAUGCGUGUGUAGGGUGAAGCCAGAGGAAACUCUGGUGGAGGCUCGCAGCGGUUCUGACGUGCAAAUCGA
This 827-nucleotide unclassified non-coding RNA is filed under the name Gibellulopsis nigrescens. RNAcentral's name for it is "sequence contains 28S rRNA gene". It matches the Rfam family "Eukaryotic large subunit ribosomal RNA", at positions 50 to 901 of the family's 3401-position model. The record is from RNAcentral. Lineage: Eukaryota; Fungi; Ascomycota; Sordariomycetes; Glomerellales; Plectosphaerellaceae.